GACGAACGCUGGCGGCGUGCUUAACACAUGCAAGUCGAGCGAUGAAGCACCUUCGGGUGUGAAUUAGCGGCGAACGGGUGAGGAACACGUGAGAAAUCUGCCUUCAACACUGGGAUAACUCCGGGAAACCGGGGCUAAUACCGGAUAUGAAACCCUGCGGGCAUCCGCGGGUUUGGAAAGUUUUUCGGUUGAAGAUGAUCUCGCGGCCUAUCAGCUUGUUGGUGAGGUAAUGGCUCACCAAGGCGACGACGGGUAGCCGGCCUGAGAGGGCGACCGGCCACACUGGGACUGAGACACGGCCCAGACUCCUACGGGAGGCAGCAGUGGGGAAUAUUGGGGCAAUGGAGGAAACUCUGACCCCAGCGACGCCGCGUGCGGGAUGAAGGCCUCGGGUUGUAAACCGCUUUCAGCAGGGAAGAA
RNAcentral lists this ribosomal RNA (420 nucleotides) under uncultured bacterium. Its description in RNAcentral is "bacterial SSU rRNA". It matches the Rfam family "Bacterial small subunit ribosomal RNA", at positions 28 to 449 of the family's 1533-position model. The record is from RNAcentral.